Fukomys damarensis (Damara mole-rat) is the source of this 607-nucleotide long non-coding RNA. RefSeq lists it as uncharacterized. The transcript is spliced from 3 exons. NCBI's taxonomy places the organism in Eukaryota, Metazoa, Chordata, Mammalia, Rodentia, Bathyergidae. The record is from RefSeq and is a predicted model, not a curated record.
CUGGCUCCUACCCCAAGCGGGAGGCCAGGCCCCCUGGCCCUCACAUGCCUCCUGCACUUGCAGGGCCAGGCCCUGGAGCCCCCUUGGUGGAGAAAGCCCUAUACCUGCAGAACCAUGCAAAUGAAUGACUAAAUAGAUCACUUCAGAGGGUGACAAUAAAAGUACAAGGGCUCUGGACAAGGGCAGCCGUUUCUGUGGCUGGGCUCGGACACUCAUGGCCUUGCCUGGAUCUGGAUAAAGAAGGUAAAUUGGUGUGGGACAGAGAGAAUGAAACUUCUGAAGACACCGGAAUGAUGAGAGAGCUGCCACUCGACCUGCCACUCUUACCUUUGGGCAGCAGCUGCCACCAUCUCCUCUCAGCACGUGUGGAUGGAGCCCUUAGUGGAAGCACCUUCCCUCCUGGACCACAUCCCAUCUGGAACAGCCCUUCUCUGAAGAACCUUCUCACUCCCAGCACCCCUCACCUGGCACAACCCUUCAGCUAGAGACUCCCUCACCUGGAACACAUCUCACCUAGAAUACCCUUUCAACAAGAGCACCCCAUCCCAGCACUCAGGAGGCUGAGGCAGGAGGAUUGCUGUGAGUUCGAGACCAGCCUGAGCUACCC